GACGAACGCUGGCGGCGUGCUUAACACAUGCAAGUCGAACGGAAAGGCCCUGCGUUUGUGGGGUGCUCGAGUGGCGAACGGGUGAGUAACACGUGAGUAACCUGCCCUUGACUGUGGGAUAACUUCAGGAAACUGGGGCUAAUACCGGAGAGGAGCUCCUGCUGCAUGGUGGUGGUUGGAAAGAUUCGGCGGUUGGGGCUGGACUCGCGGCUUAUCAGCUUGUUGGUGGGGUAGGGGCGUACAAAGGCUUUGACGGGUAGCCGGCCUGAGAGGGUGACCGGCCACCUUGGGACUGCGAUACGGCCCAGACUCCUACGGGAGGCAGCAGUGGGGAAUAUUGCACAAUGGGCGGAAGCCUGAUGCAGCAACGCCGCGUGCGGGAUGACGGCCUUCGGGUUGUAAACCGCUUUCGCAGGUGCCGAAGCGUGAGUGACGGUAAUGGGUCAAGAAGCACCGGCUAACUACGUG
This 468-nucleotide ribosomal RNA is filed under the name uncultured bacterium. RNAcentral's name for it is "partial 16S ribosomal RNA". It matches the Rfam family "Bacterial small subunit ribosomal RNA", at positions 28 to 507 of the family's 1533-position model. The record is from RNAcentral.